This 287-nucleotide ribosomal RNA is filed under the name uncultured bacterium. Its description in RNAcentral is "partial 16S ribosomal RNA". It matches the Rfam family "Bacterial small subunit ribosomal RNA", at positions 583 to 869 of the family's 1533-position model. The record is from RNAcentral.
GUAGUCAGAUGUGAAUACCUUGGCUUAACCAAGGAAGGGCAUUUGAAACUGCUUGGCUUGAGUACGGGAGGGGGAAGCGGAAUUCCCGGUGUAGAGGUGAAAUUCGUAGAUAUCGGGAGGAACACCGGUGGCGAAGGCGGCUUUCUGGACCGAUACUGACGCUGAGACGCGAAAGCGUGGGGAGCAAACAGGAUUAGAUACCCUGGUAGUCCACGCCUUAAACGUUGGGCACUAGGUGUUGUGGGUAUUGACCCCUGCAGUGCCAAGGGCGAAUUCCACAGUGGAUA